Molecule: ribosomal RNA, 253 nt
Filed under: uncultured bacterium
Lineage: Bacteria
Description: partial 16S ribosomal RNA
Rfam family: Bacterial small subunit ribosomal RNA
Source: RNAcentral
UACGGGGGGGGCAAGCGUUGUUCGGAAUUACUGGGCGUAAAGGGCUCGUAGGCGGCCAACUAAGUCAGACGUGAAAUCCCUCGGCUUAACCGAGGAACUGCGUCUGAUACUGGAUGGCUAGAGAUUGGGAGAGGGAUGCGGAAUUCCAGGUGUAGCGGUGAAAUGCGUAGAUAUCUGGAGGAACACCGGUGGCGAAGGCGGCAUCCUGGACCAACACUGACGCUGAGGAGCGAAAGCCAGAGGAGCAAACGGG